Molecule: long non-coding RNA, 1477 nt
Filed under: Aotus nancymaae (Ma's night monkey)
Lineage: Eukaryota; Metazoa; Chordata; Mammalia; Primates; Aotidae
Description: lncRNA (ENSANAG00000039264.1)
Source: RNAcentral
UGGGAAACAAUACACAAUUCACAAUUGCAAAGAGGAUGGAAUCAACCUAAGUGCCUUUCAAUCAAAAACUGGAUAAAGAAAAUGUAGUAUAUAAACACCAUGGGAUAGUACUUAGUCCUGAAAAAUAAUGAAAUAAUGCCUUUUGCAGUAACUUGGAUAUAACUGGAGGCUAUUAUCCAAAGUGAAGUUACUCAGGAAAGGAAAACCAAAUAUCAUGUGUUCUCACCUAUAAGUGGGAGCUAAGCUAUGGUAUACAAGGGCGUACAGAGUGGUAUAAGGGACAUUGGAGUCUCAGAAGUAUGGAGGAUGGAAAGGGGGAUGAGGGAUGAAAAGUUACCUAUUGAAUACAACGUGCACUAUUUGGAUUAUGGGUAUACUAAAAGUCUUUCUUGGUUCUGGGUGUGUGUUCCUGGUUGGGAUGGAGGUGAAUUUGGCAUGGUGAUCAGACAUAUGUAAAUGUGUUUUGCGACAAGCAAGUACAAUAAAAUGGUAAUUGGCAAACAACAGAGACCCCAGGCUGGAAUGUCAGAAAGUCUGCUGCAACUUCUCCAUAGCGUGUGUAGCAGGUAUUCCACAGGCCUCUUCGAAGUCUUCUCUUUAUCGUGUUCAGAUGAUACCCUGCAGAAAAACUUAAUCAAACAUGUGAUCAAAGUUUCAAAAAGAAGUAAAAGCAUGUCCUCAUCUCUACUCCUGAUGUAUUAAACUUUCAGUCUAAUGAAACAUUAGAAUUUACAUGGAUAGACUCUGCAACAUAAGAGGGUAUUUCAAAUUCCAAUUCCUGUUAUCACAUAAAAUAUUUGAAUAUUAUAUUCCUUAUCUUUUGUUCGUUAACUUUAAAUAUAUUUUGGGAAUGGAUGGAGAGGAUUAUUGAGAUAAGUUAUGUAAACUGAAGUUUAGAUGAUCUUGAUUUUUAAAUUUAUUAUUCUAAAUGGAAGUGAUAGCAUGAUUUUAAAAGAAAAAGACCUGUGAAUCUAAAAUAAUAUUAAAUAUGUUUAUAUUACAUGUAUACAACCACAGAAUAACUCUAUAAUAUACCUAAUUAAAGAGGUAAUUAGAAAAAGGUAUCCUGUAAUAAAAAUACAGUACCCUGUGACAGCAUCAUACUUUCCCCUUAAUUAUAUUAUGUAGAUGCUAUGAUAGUCACAAAUUAGCUAAUAAUAGAAAUCCUUUGAUUUAUUUUCAGUACAUCUAUAUGUUUCUCAACAGCACUCUCAGCAAAGCACCAUUAUUACUUUAUUAAAUACUACUUUUGCCUACUUGAGCUUAACAAACAAAUCUAAUGGUAGGAAAGAAUUUAAUUUCAGAGCUGAAUGAUAAUGUUAGGCACUGUUAAUUCACACAAUUCAAAGUUAAUUAUGUUUGGCAAAAUUAGGAGUGUGGUAAUUUUGUUCUGUUGAGCUAUAGCUUUUAUGAAAUUUUAUAUUCUGAUUAAACAAACCCCAUUGACAAGAAUAUAUAACAUAUUGUAAUAUUUACA